This is a non-coding RNA of Pezoporus occidentalis (night parrot), 892 nucleotides long. The record is from the annotation of a RefSeq genome assembly. NCBI's taxonomy places the organism in Eukaryota, Metazoa, Chordata, Aves, Psittaciformes, Psittacidae.
CUGCUUCAAAAGUGGCUUGGGGUUUUUGUUAUGGAAGGAAAUGCUGUGCGAUUAUAAUAGCGGCAACUACGAGCUGACGUUUGGCUCAGGGACCAGACUGUCUGUCCAGCCCUACAUUACUCCAUCUCCUUCAGUCUACAGGCUGACCUCUAAAGAUGAUGAGAAUGUGGAAAUGUGCCUUAUCACAGAUCAUUCCCCUGAAAAGCUUACUCUUAACUGGGCUGAUAAGGUGACAAAUACUGUUGUGGAGGUGACAACACCUGAGAACAAACAGGAAGCCAGCUACCUGUCAACCUACUGGGGCAAGAAAGAUGAAAUGCUGUGUGGUGCAAAUCACGAGGGAUUUGGAGCACUGGAGGGGGAAGAUCCUGAAAGUGGUUCCAGUGCUCUUUGUGUUACAGGAAUGUCUCUACAAUUCAGGACAGAUGAGAACCUGAACACGAUGUCUUUAUCACAGCUGGGUCUGAAAAUAAUUUUAAUGAAAGGAAUAAUUUUUAACGUCCUGAUGACGAUACUCGUGUGGAAAAAAAAGAAUGAAAGUAACUAGAUGGUGCAGUCCUGAAGUAUCAAAAAAGUCUGCUGAGGAACCUUUACCAGAGCACCAUCUGCAAGAGGGCACACAAGCAUUCCUAUUGAAAGAGAUAUCACUUGCUAUCUGUGUAUCAGCCAGUCAUUAUAAUCUAAAUUGCUUUAUUUGCAUUGUUUCAAAGCUACUCAAACCUAAGCUUAAAAUUUCCAGCAUUCUCCUCCCCCAGAUGCCUGAUUCAUUUAGCACGACAAUGCCUCUUUUUGCAUAAAGCACAGUUUGGCAUAACUAUAAAUUACCAAAUAUCACACUUACCUACUGGUGUUAAAAUGACAUCCGAUUUCUGUUGUUUGGAGGUGGUGUUUG